AGGGCUGACUGGAACAGAAUCACCAGCUGCUGAUGGCAUGUACAUCACUGGGCCUGCCUGCGUGGGGCUGGACACAGCUGAGGACUGCUGCAGAUCUUCAUUGAGCGGAGGCUGUUCUACGUGUGCAAAGGCACAGAAGGGUCCUCGGGGACAGCUGCCAGACUGCUGCAUAUCAUUGCACUUGGUGGAUUUGUAGAUCUCUGGAUGGAACUGCUGCUCUGUGCGAGUGUGGCAGUAUUGGCACGAGUCUCCAUUUUCACACUUACUAGGAUCUCCC
This 277-nucleotide long non-coding RNA is filed under the name Gallus gallus (chicken). The record is from RNAcentral. Lineage: Eukaryota; Metazoa; Chordata; Aves; Galliformes; Phasianidae.